This is a long non-coding RNA of Danio aesculapii, 1469 nucleotides long. RefSeq lists it as uncharacterized. The record is from RefSeq and is a predicted model, not a curated record. NCBI's taxonomy places the organism in Eukaryota, Metazoa, Chordata, Actinopteri, Cypriniformes, Danionidae. The transcript has 6 exons.
AACACAGAAAAAUUAAGACAUGUUUGGAAUCAACAAGAGCAUUUAUGAGGAAGACUGCAACGUUUCAAUGUGGACACUCAGCACUUUCCCUUAUAGAUGCCAGAAAGAUGGAACGUCUUGUGGGGUCCUGGUCUUAAAAUUUGCAGAGACAAUUUUACAAGGGGAGGCAAUAGAUCUCUGCACGUCUCAGGAAACAGUGUAAUCAUCAUGCAGCCAAACUGUGUCUCUACUGUAGACAAGGUAGACAUGUAAUACAGACCAUUCGUCUUCCACAACUUGCAUGUAUGCCCUCCUCGACUCUGGGUCAGCCGGCAAUUUCAUCUCUGCAGGUUUAUGUCACAGACUUCAGCUCAAGAAAAAUAAUUCAACAACACCCUCUAUCAGAUCCAGUCCAUAACUGGAGGUCCACUUGGCUGAGGACAUGUUCAACUGCAUGGGUCUCGUUCAGUUGUGGAUUGGACAGCUACACAUAGGAAACAUCAGUCUGUUUCUAUCUGGAGGAUUCCACCACUGUUCUAAUCAGCCAAUCACAUGGCAGCAACUCAAUGUAUUGAGGCAUGCAGACAUGGUCAAGAUGAUCUGCUGCAGUUCAAACCGAGCAUCAGAAUGUUGAAGAAAGGGGUUUUAAGUGACUUUGGGUUGGAAAAACAUUGCCUGGUCUGAUGAGUCGAGAUGGUAGGGUCAGAAUUUGGCGUCAACAACAUGAAGCAUGGAUCCAUCCUACCUUGUAUCAAUGGUUCAGGCUGGUGAUGGUGGUGUAAUGGUGUGGGGGAUAUUUUCUUGGCACACUUUGGGCCCAGUAGUACCAAUUGAGCAUCGUGUCAACGCCACAGCCUAUCUGAGUAUUGUUGCUGGCCUCCACAUUCACCAGAACUGUUUCAAAUAGAGCACGUUUGGGAGAUUUGCGUCAUGGAUGUGCAACUGACAAAUCUGCAGCAACUGCGUGAUGCUAUCAUGUCAAUAUGGACCAAAAUUUCUGAGGAAUAUUUCCAGUACCUUGUUGAAUCUACGUCACAAAAGAUUAACGCAGUUCUGAAGGCAAAAGGGGUCCAACCCGCUACUAGUAAGUUGUACCUAAUAAAAUGGCCGUCUUUAUAAGCUUGGAUCCAACCAGUAUCCUGAGCAGAUGGCUGUCAUGAUCAUGGAUGAGUCGAGAACAUGAGACUGAUUCCUGAAAGACCCCGGUGACAGCCGAGUCUCCUCACUGAUCCCGUGGGCCACCUGCCGCUGACCUACUCAGACUUGCAGAUUCUCUCCAUGUUGGAAGUCUCAGGCGCCCAGACUGCAGGUCUGCACAAGAUGUUUGGCCAGAGGAGAGCUGGUCAUGCCCGGCUGAGCCUGGUUUCUCUCAAGGACAUGUCUUUAGACUGUGGGGGAAACCGGAGCACCCGGAGGAAACCCACGCGAACACAGGGAGAAUAAGCAAACUCCACACAGAAACGCCAACUGGCCCAGCCGGGACUGGAACC